CCUUAGGGAGACAGACAGAAGUCUGAAGCCAUUGGAGGGGAGGACAUAUAGCAUAUGGAACACUCCAAUACCCAAGGAGAAGCUGGGUAUCAGCACAUCAGCACAUAAGGAGAUCCCAGACUCAUACAGGACACUAUAAUGUGGAAAGGUGCCAGCUGACUGCUGCUUUAUUCACCAAUCCUGGAUCAUAGAUCUAAGAGAUUCCAGCCUUCACUGCUGAAGGAAUUGUCAAGAAGGAUAAGAGGGGUUGGAGGAGAGCAGAGAGUCCCUGGAGAAGGUCCCCAACAUGAGAGGAUCCUGAGGGAACAUGAAGAAUAGUUCAAAAAUGUCAGUAACUCCCGGGAAGAAUCAGAGGACACCUAUGCAGAUAACAAGCAAUGUGAUAUGUGAAGCAUGUACAAUCAUUUUAAGCAUAUUUCCAAAUUAGUCAUAUUGUGAAAGGAAAAUCAGAACAAAAGGAGAAAAAAAAGCCGCAAGAAAGAAAAAGUAAACAAAACAAAACCAAAGGUAAAAAUAAUAUGCUUUGAUCCACAUUCAGUCACCAUAGUUCUCCCUUUGGAGGCAGAUGUUAUUUUCCAUACAAGUUUAUUGGAAUUGUCUUGGAUCACUUCAUUGCUGAGAAGAACUAAGUCUAUCAUAGUUUAUCAUCACAUAAUCUUACAGUUACUGUGUACACAAUGUUCUCCUGAUUCUGCUCACGUCAUUCAGCAUCAGUUCAUAUAAGUCUUUUCAGCUCUACUAUUCUGAAACUACAACUUUCUGCCUGCCUGAUCAGUGACUAAGUUGAGCAUAGUCUACUGGCAUGUCUAUGAGGGGCAAGCUUACAAAUAUAUUUCCUAGAUCCAAACCAAGAUCAGGAACUUACAGAACUCAGAUCAGGAAAAGACAUAUUUCAAGAAAUUAUUAAAGAAAACUGUCCAGAUAUUAAAAAAAACAGAAUGACAAGUGAAAAAUAUAAUUUACUGGUCAUUAUCUGAAAGAAAACUCCCAAAGAACAUUUCUGGCAAUAUUAUAGCCAAACCCAGAGCUUCCAAUUCAAAGAAAAAGCCUCUAAAAUAAA
This is a long non-coding RNA of Antechinus flavipes (yellow-footed antechinus), 1060 nucleotides long. RefSeq lists it as uncharacterized. The transcript is spliced from 3 exons. The record is from RefSeq and is a predicted model, not a curated record. Lineage: Eukaryota; Metazoa; Chordata; Mammalia; Dasyuromorphia; Dasyuridae.